This 728-nucleotide long non-coding RNA is filed under the name Ananas comosus (pineapple). RNAcentral describes it as "long non-coding RNA (ACOM_LNC001933)". Lineage: Eukaryota; Viridiplantae; Streptophyta; Magnoliopsida; Poales; Bromeliaceae. The record is from RNAcentral.
CACUAUCUUUAAGUAUAAUUUAACUAAUACUCAAAGCCCCCUUUGGUUUGGGGGUAACAAAUAUUGGGAUAAACUUUUUUAUCCAUGAAAUAGCUUGCUAUUCUGGAAUAGUCAGGAAUAAAAGUAAAAUUAUGCUUGGUUUGUAAUGAUGUAUUUUUAGGAAUAAUUAAAAUUGUGUUGGGUUAAUUUUAUGGAAUAGUAGAGGAUAGUGGAGAAAAAUAAUCGUUGCAUUUGAUAUAUAAUAUAUAAUUUAAUAAUAAUUAUUUAAAUAUAAUUUACUAUAAAAUUUAUUAUAAUAUUUAAAUAUAAAUAACAUGUAUAAAUAUAGUAUAAUUAAUAAUUUUAUAAUAAAAACAAUAUAUUAUAAUAUAUAAUAUAUUAUAUCUAUAUAAUUUAAUUUUAAUUCAAUUUAUUAUUUUAAUAAAGUCUGAAAUUAAACCUUAGAAUAGCACUAUUCUACCAAAAUGGUUGAAUAGCAAAUCCCAAGCUAUUCUAGGAUAGCCGAGAAUAGCAAGAUUUGACCGGAAAAAAAUAUCCCGGCCAAAAAGCACCUAGUUUAGCAGAAUAGUGGGAAAUAACUUUUGUUAUCGCUAGUUUAUCCCUGAACCAAACAGAACUUAUUUUUGAACCUCCAAAUACCUCAUAAUAAAUUUUUUCUAUACUCAUAGCAUAAUUAAACUAUGCUCUAAAAAAAAAUAGCAUCCAAACAGGCCCUAAACCUAGAAUCC